Molecule: non-coding RNA, 45 nt
Filed under: Schistosoma haematobium
Lineage: Eukaryota; Metazoa; Platyhelminthes; Trematoda; Strigeidida; Schistosomatidae
Source: RNAcentral
AUCUAGCUGACGAGUCUCAAAUAGAACGAAACGUUUGUCCUUGAU